This 451-nucleotide ribosomal RNA is filed under the name uncultured bacterium. RNAcentral describes it as "partial 16S ribosomal RNA". It matches the Rfam family "Bacterial small subunit ribosomal RNA", at positions 28 to 507 of the family's 1533-position model. The record is from RNAcentral.
GAUGAAUGCUGGCGGCGUGCCUAACACAUGCAAGUCGAGCGGCAGCGCGGUGUGCUUUUACCCUUUCGGCGAGCGGCUGACGGCUGAGUAACGCGUAGGACUUUGCCUCAAAUUUCGUAAUAACUGCCCGAAAGGGUAUCUCAUUCCUCCUAUGUUCUUCGUAUUAAAGGAUUUAUCCGCUUUUGGAGAAGGCUGCGUUGGAUUAGGUGGUUGUUAGGUUAAUGGCGUAUCAAGCCGAGGAUCCAUAGCUGGUCUGAGAGGAUGAUCAGCGAGACUGGAAGUGAGCCACGGUCCAGAAUAUUACGGGAGGGAGGAGUGACGGAUCUACCAAAAUGGGGGAAAGGAUGAAGGAGCAAGGGUGGGUAAAGGAUGAAGGUCUGCGAGAAGAAAACUAGUUUUAUGAGUGAAGAAUAUGACGGUAACUAAUGAAUAAGCACCGGCUAACUACGUG